Molecule: ribosomal RNA, 479 nt
Filed under: uncultured bacterium
Lineage: Bacteria
Description: SSU rRNA
Rfam family: Bacterial small subunit ribosomal RNA
Source: RNAcentral
AGAACGAACGCUGGCGGCAUGCCUAACACAUGCAAGUCGAACGCUUCCGGGGCUUCGGUCGCGGAGGAGUGGCGCACGGGUGAGUAGCGCGUGGGAACCUGCCCUGUUGUGGGGGAUAACCGAGGGAAACUUCGGCUAAUACCGCAUACGCCCCGGGACUUGGUCUUCGGAUUAGGUCUGGGGGGAAAGAUUGAUCGCAGCAGGAGGGGCCCGCGUCGGAUUAGCUGGUUGGUGGGGUAACGGCUCACCAAGGCGAUGAUCCGUAGCUGGUCUGAGAGGAUGAUCAGCCACACUGGGACUGAGACACGGCCCAGACUCCUACGGGAGGCAGCAGUGGGGAAUAUUGGACAAUGGGGGCAACCCUGAUCCAGCAAUGCCGCGUGAGUGAUGAAGGCCUUAGGGUUGUAAAGCUCUUUCGCCCGCGACGAUGAUGACGGUAGCGGGAGAAGAGCCCCGGCUAACUUCGUGCCAGCAGCCGC